RNAcentral lists this ribosomal RNA (229 nucleotides) under Brevibacillus sp. SYP-B805. RNAcentral describes it as "partial 23S ribosomal RNA". It matches the Rfam family "Bacterial large subunit ribosomal RNA", at positions 1 to 223 of the family's 2925-position model. Lineage: Bacteria; Bacillati; Bacillota; Bacilli; Caryophanales; Paenibacillaceae. The record is from RNAcentral.
UUGUGGUUAAGUUACUAAGGGCACACGGUGGAUGCCUUGGCGCUAGGAGCCGAAGAAGGACGCAGCGAACUGCGAUAAGCCUCGGGGAGCGGUAAGCACGCCUUGAUCCGGGGAUCUCCGAAUGGGGCAACCCACCAUCCGUAAUGGGAUGGUAUCCGUACCUGAAUCCAUAGGGUAUGAGAAGGCACACCCGGUGAACUGAAACAUCUAAGUAGCCGGAGGAGAAGAA